RNAcentral lists this long non-coding RNA (991 nucleotides) under Ornithorhynchus anatinus (platypus). Its description in RNAcentral is "lncRNA (ENSOANG00000039926.1)". The record is from RNAcentral. Lineage: Eukaryota; Metazoa; Chordata; Mammalia; Monotremata; Ornithorhynchidae.
AGACGUGUAUACUUCUGGGAUUCUUCGAUUUAUGGCUUGCUGAAAUCAUUUUGAACUAGUGGGGAGGCACAGAAUAUCUCCUCCUCACCGGUUGAUUAGUAUGAACAUUGUUGGGAAGAUUACACUAUCUGAACAAUUCAUGAUUGAAGAAAUAAGCAAAAGCACAGAUUUUUUUCAUUUAGCAAUGCAGACUCUUAAGCCCAGAAAAGUCACUGCUGCAUAUUGGAAACUUUCCUCGUCGACAGUGCAGCAAAGCAGUGCUCCACUCCUGAAUGGCUGUUAGAUGUAAUGUAAACGCACAGCUUCCCUGCCUCACUGGUCGAAGCUCAUCACGAGCCUGGUGAGACCAGAAGAAAAAUGCCAGAACAAAAUAGUGAAGAAGUAUUUCUUUCUUCAGAAAUGUCUGCUCGCAACAGACUGGCUGGAAGGACACUGCUUGUCCAGAGUGCCGUGGUGGUCACAGUUUGUGUCCUAUUCUUCAAGAACCUUUGGCUUUAUAGAAAACCCUCCAUCUUCUUGAGCUCCGCAGGCUCCAUGAUUAAUGAACUGAAGAAUUGGACAGGGUGUCUGAGAAAAUUCCAGCAGGAUAUGGCAAAAUAUUCUGCACAGUUCUGUUGCCCUUGUGUCAUAUAGAUGGGUUAGAAACAAAAAUGUAUUUAAUGUCCUAAUAAAACUGCAGCUCCAGAGUGCAUAAGAUGUUACAGAGAAUCUCGUGCAAAUUAGACUGUUUUCAUAAUCACUGAGCCCAGAAAGUCCAAAUUCUUUCUUUUUCCCAUUCAACACUCUUUGUGUAGGGUGACUUGUCAUGCUUUUUAUGAGCUGUGUCGAGUAAUAGCUCUGAUUAGGGCGUCGUUAUUCUGCUUCAAAAGAUGAUGAAACUGAGAAGCAAGGCCAAGAAGAUGGGUGAGAGAGUCAGGAAACUCCAACUUUAGAAAAAUUUUUAGUUUAUGGGAAAGACAAGAAAAAAACCCUAAAGCCUUUAGUAUUUCAA